Oreochromis niloticus (Nile tilapia) is the source of this 544-nucleotide long non-coding RNA. RefSeq lists it as uncharacterized. The record is from RefSeq and is a predicted model, not a curated record. The transcript has 3 exons. NCBI's taxonomy places the organism in Eukaryota, Metazoa, Chordata, Actinopteri, Cichliformes, Cichlidae.
CCGGACACUCCCACAGCGCAGACUUUGCUAUCCGCACAGAGCUUUUCUGGUGUGUCUCAUGCAAAAGAGACAAUACAGCUCACGAGCGGAGGUCACGGCAAGAGUUCCCUGAGUUGACACGUAUGAACCAUAAAGUCAGUUUGGACUGAGGAGCAGUCGGACCCACACGGACAUCAGUUCAGACUGAAAUCCAGUUCAGAGGGCACACGCAACAUGUUCAAGCUUGCACGGAGGCCUUUCAGUCAAUGUAAGAAGAUGGUUAAGGCGAGAGAUUGCUAUUCUGUCUUUUACAUCGCUACAAAGGGAGGACUAAAUGCCAAAAAAGAGAAAAGUUUUUUAAAAAAUGACGCUUUAAAACAGUUCGAGUAUCUUUGUGUUUACGGGGAGAAGGGAAUAACUGCGGCCGAGCCUCUGAAAAGAGACGGUCGCUUCGCCGAUGACCUGGGCUACUUUGAGCUGGUUAACAUCAACGACGAACGUAAGACUGAGUGCACAGACAUAAUUGAUUGUCUGGACAAUAAGAAAUUCCAGAUAUGUUUUCCAC